RNAcentral lists this ribosomal RNA (509 nucleotides) under uncultured bacterium. RNAcentral's name for it is "bacterial SSU rRNA". It matches the Rfam family "Bacterial small subunit ribosomal RNA", at positions 501 to 1009 of the family's 1533-position model. The record is from RNAcentral.
CUACGUGCCAGCAGCCGCGGUAAUACGUAGGUGGCAAGCGUUGUCCGGAAUUAUUGGGCGUAAAGGGCGCGCAGGCGGCUUCUUAAGUCUGUCUUAAAAGUGCGGGGCUUAACCCCGUGAUGGGAUGGAAACUGCCAAUCUAGAGUAUCGGAGAGGAAAGUGGAAUUCCUAGUGUAGCGGUGAAAUGCGUAGAUAUUAGGAAGAACACCAGUGGCGAAGGCGACUUUCUGGACGAAAACUGACGCUGAGGCGCGAAAGCCAGGGGAGCGAACGGGAUUAGAUACCCCGGUAGUCCUGGCCGUAAACGAUGGGUACUAGGUGUAGGAGGUAUCGACCCCUUCUGUGCCGGAGUUAACGCAAUAAGUACCCCGCCUGGGGAGUACGACCGCAAGGUUGAAACUCAAAGGAAUUGACGGGGGCCCGCACAAGCGGUGGAGUAUGUGGUUUAAUUCGACGCAACGCGAAGAACCUUACCAGGUCUUGACAUUGAUGGACAGAACUAGAGAUAG